GGGGCCGUAGUUCAGCUGGUUUAGAACGUCGGACUGUCGAUCCGAAGGUCGCGGGUUCGAACCCCGUCGGCCCCGCCA
RNAcentral lists this transfer RNA (78 nucleotides) under Candidatus Omnitrophota bacterium. RNAcentral describes it as "Candidatus Omnitrophica bacterium tRNA-Asp". It matches the Rfam family "tRNA". From Rfam's summary of the family: Transfer RNA (tRNA) molecules are approximately 80 nucleotides in length. Their secondary structure includes four short double-helical elements and three loops (D, anti-codon, and T loops). The record is from RNAcentral. Lineage: Bacteria; Pseudomonadati; Candidatus Omnitrophota.